AGGACGAACGCUGGCGGCGCGCCUAACACAUGCAAGUCGAACGGAGCUUAGAGAGUUUGCUUUUUAAGCUUAGUGGCGAACGGGUGAGUAACGCGUGAGUAACCUGCCCUAGAGUGGGGGACAACAGUUGGAAACGACUGCUAAUACCGCAUAAGCCCACGGUACCGCAUGGUACUGAGGGAAAAGGAUUUAUUCGCUUUAGGAUGGACUCGCGUCCAAUUAGCUAGUUGGUGAGGUAAUGGCCCACCAAGGCGACGAUUGGUAGCCGGACUGAGAGGUUGAACGGCCACAUUGGGACUGAGACACGGCCCAGACUCCUACGGGAGGCAGCAGUGGGGGAUAUUGCACAAUGGGGGAAACCCUGAUGCAGCGACGCCGCGUGGAGGAAGAAGGUUUUCGGAUUGUAAACUCCUGUCGUUAGGGACGAUAAUGACGGUACCUAACAAGAAAGCACCGGCUAACUACGUG
RNAcentral lists this ribosomal RNA (468 nucleotides) under uncultured bacterium. RNAcentral's name for it is "bacterial SSU rRNA". It matches the Rfam family "Bacterial small subunit ribosomal RNA", at positions 26 to 507 of the family's 1533-position model. The record is from RNAcentral.